Molecule: long non-coding RNA, 406 nt
Filed under: Phaseolus vulgaris (common bean)
Lineage: Eukaryota; Viridiplantae; Streptophyta; Magnoliopsida; Fabales; Fabaceae
Description: long non-coding RNA (PVUL_LNC000579)
Source: RNAcentral
AACAAUUUGCAAAUUACAUAACUCUAUAAUAGUAAUGAAAUCUCUAUAAUCAGAACAUUGUCUUUGGAAAAUUAAAUUCAGAAGAAUACAAUCUUGAAUUUUCCCAGCACUUACAACACCAUCAUAUGAAUUCCACUAUGAAAGAUCAAUUUGUGGUCUUCACAAAGUGCAUGGAUCUGACAAAAUUUCCUCCAUCCCAACAAAAUUUUGCCGCACAUAUUUGAGAGGAAGUCAAAACCCUAAGUAGCCCAAAAAUAACUUCAUUAACGAUUUUAUCAGAAAAAAAAUGAACAAUGAAAACAACUCUGAGAAAAGAGGAAAGAAAAGAUUUCACCUUGAUGCUUGAAGGUACUAUUGAUAUGAACGAAAAUUCCUUCCACUUCCACUACACGAAGCUGCACAAACU